UUCUCAAGGGGAUCUCCCUGACCCAGGGAUUGAACCCAUGUCUGUUAUGUCUCCUGUAUUGCGGACAGAUUCUUUACCACUUGACCCAUCAGGGAAGCCCAAGUAAAUAAAUAAAUAGAUAUGUAAGUAGGUCCUGUGGGAUCAGUGUGCAUAGCCAGAAACAACGACCUAAUCUAGAAUAGGGAUUUACAUGUAAUGUGGUUGCCAAAAGCCCCGCAACCUACCCCAGAGUGCUGUUUCCUUUCAGAGACAUUAGAGCCGUGGUCUUGAUGCCAGGUCAAGCUGAUUGCGUAAGGCAGUUUGGGUAAACAGUUUAGGAAUCAGGUAAACGGAAGUCAGGUAAACAGUUUCCUAUCUGGAAAAGCAGUACCUGGACACCCACUUGGUGCUAGACCCUGUGUGAGCUGCUAGACCAACAAAGGGCUUCCCUGGUUAAGAAUCCGCCUGUCAGCACGGGAGACAAGGGUUCGAUCCUUGACCUGGGAAAAUCCCGAAUGCCAUGGAGCAGCAAAGCCGGUGCGCCACACUAUUGAGCCUGUGCUCCAGAGCCCGGGGCCACAGCUACUGAAGCCUGUGUGCCCUGGAGCUGCUGCUCUGCUGCAAGAGAAGCCCCUGCAAUGAGAAGCCUGAGCACUGCAACUGGAGAAAAGCAUGCAUGGCCACGAAGACCCAGCACAGCCAAAAAUAAAUACUUUUUUAAAAAGGUAAAACUUUACAGAUAAAGCUGAAGUCUUACUUCCUCUCCAUUCCAGCCCCUCUAAAUCUUUUUUUAAAAAAAAUUAACAAUCUUCCGUGUUGUAUGUUUUAUGUAGUUCCUUACAAAAAUGGCAUAAUGUUGCCUGUACUACUCUGCAAUACAGAAUAUUGCUUUUCCUCUCUCUCGGUAAGCUCUAUCUGUGAUGUCACGUUCCUUUCACCAGCUACCGGAUGUUCUGUUUUAUCUGUUUCACUAUUGACAGAUGUUUAGGUUGUUCCUAGUUUCUCAGAAUUACAGAUAAGGCAGCAACACCCUUUCUUAAUCAUGCCUCCUUUCUCCAGAUGGGUGUGCUAGGAGGUGGAACUCACUAGGUCAUGGAGUAAGCACAGCUUUCCUAGAUGCUGUCAGAUGACCCUCCAAAGUCCUUUUUAUUCCUGCUGUUUCUGCAAGUUCUUUUUUAAACUUAAGUUUUACAUAUUAAAAAAAAAUUGAGGUAUGUUUGAUUUAUAGCAUCAUGUUAAUUUCAGUGUGCAGCACAGUGAUUCAUAGAAGCUCUUUGUAAAUCUACACACAGAGGGUUCCCCGGUGGUCCAGUGGUUAAGAAUCUGCAUUGCCAAUGCAGGUGACACCAGUUGGAUCCCUGAUCUGGGAAGAUCCCACAUGCCAUGGAGCAGCUAAGCCGGUGCGCCACAAGUGUUGAGCCUGUGCUCUGAAGCCGGGGAGCCACAACUACUGAAGCCUGUACACCCAAGAGCCUCUGCUCCGCAACAGAGAAGCCACUGCAAUGAGAAGCCCAUACAACAAAGCUAGAGAGUAGGCCCUGCUCGUUGCAACUAGAGAAAGGCCACCCACAGCAGAGAAGAACUAGCACAGCCAAAAAUAAAAACUAAUUAAAAAAAAUCUACACACAA
Cervus elaphus (red deer) is the source of this 1608-nucleotide long non-coding RNA. RefSeq lists it as uncharacterized. The record is from RefSeq and is a predicted model, not a curated record. NCBI's taxonomy places the organism in Eukaryota, Metazoa, Chordata, Mammalia, Artiodactyla, Cervidae. The transcript is spliced from 2 exons.